RNAcentral lists this long non-coding RNA (479 nucleotides) under Pan troglodytes (chimpanzee). RNAcentral's name for it is "long non-coding RNA NONPTRT012619". The record is from RNAcentral. Lineage: Eukaryota; Metazoa; Chordata; Mammalia; Primates; Hominidae.
AGCCUUGGUUUGGAAGUGCAUCAGGCUGGGAAAUCUUAGGAUGGUGAACCAUCGUGUUUCCUGAGUGUGAAUCCUGUACCUGGUUUGACUGUAGUCACCCCUUCUCCAACACUCUCCACGAUGCCGGCUGCCUCAUGGCCUAAAAUCACAGGAAGUGGGGUCACCAUGGUACCACUAACCACGUGGUCAUCUGUGCCACAGAUUCCUACAGCCACCAUCUACAGAGUGAAGAGAAGAUGUUUAUGAAAGAUUAUGAGUCUCAGGAUGUUCAACAUGAUCAAUGCCAAAAUAAAUAUCAGAAUACUUGGAAGUAAAGUACUAAUAGUAGGAGUUCCUGAUUAUCAGGUGCCUAUGAUGUGACAGGCACAUUGUGGCCUGUGCUCGACCAGGAGACUGGUGAGUCCUUGUGGAUUUCUUCCCUGCUCAAGUGCAUAAAGCAGGUGUAUUGCACAGGCACUGCACAGGCAGCUGUUUAAUCA